RNAcentral lists this long non-coding RNA (5583 nucleotides) under Homo sapiens (human). RNAcentral's name for it is "HSALNT0039223". Lineage: Eukaryota; Metazoa; Chordata; Mammalia; Primates; Hominidae. The record is from RNAcentral.
CAUUUGUCUUCCACACAAAAUCAUACAAAAUGUUCUCUUUAUUAAAUAUACAUUAUUUACAGUUUGUCUUUCUUCUGUACAACAAUAACCAUAGAAAACAAAGAAAUCUAAGGCUAACUUUUAUUUUUUCCCCAUACAGUGUAUUAAGACAUGUUACAUGGUCUACAAAACUGACUUGGAAUGAGGCAACAUCACUUGGGAUUUUAUUUUAGGAACAAAAAUCAGAAGAUAAAAAGGAAAAGGUAGACUCCAGCAUUUCCACAAAAAGAUGACCUGUUUUGUGCUUUUACCAUAAUAAAGAGUCUGACAUAUGUGUAUUUUUGUGGGGAGGGUAUUCUGCAAUUUAUUACUUGUUGAAAUACCCUCCCCACUCUUUCUCAUUCCCUGAAAAGGAGGGCCUGAACAUGCCAUAGGAAGACUUACUUCCCAUCUGAAACAGACACUAGAAAGCCUUUCAAAGAGUCUGUAGAGGAAUGCAUUAUUCCUGUUUCAUAUCCAGCACUUUGUUCACGUUCUCUGAAGAUAUUUCUGGCAUCUGAAGCAUGUAAGACUAUGACACUCGUUAAAAUAAGACCAGGCGUUAAUCACUAACACAAUUAUCUUCACCUUUGGUCUUGGCUUGGGACUAAUCUCCUAAUUUUGUCCUAUUUUAUAAAGGGUUUCCUUGUGUCAACUGGAAGGACUGAGAAAAAAUAGUGUUCCCAGAUGGUGUUAGAUGGUAGGUCCCUGGCGGUACUCGUUGUCAGGGCUGGGACACUACACUCCUUCUUACAGUUAUGUUAUGCUUAUUCAUGUCAGGAUGAAUGGAAGGAAAAGAAAGACACUGGAUGGAUUCCAGAAUCUGAGGACUUCCACUCACAGGGGCUCUGAUUGAUAAUAGACCUAGGGCAGUUUUCUGACAGUUUCAUUUCCUGAAAGUUGCAUCUGGGUGCUUAACCUGGGCAGGUUAGAUAAUUAUAAUAAUAGUUCUAAAGCACUCUGAGAAAAUCCUGAAAAAAAAUUUAAAAAUUGAAAAAAAAGAAUGUGACUGAAGAAGUGUUGGAAGGUAAAAAAAAUCAUGCAAAUGUGAGUAAAGAAUUAUUCAUGCAAAGCCCAUGAUAUUGCCUCUUUCCCUAAUGAGUAAGACAAUGAUCCAAAUGCACUAAAGAGACUCCUGAGUGAGGAGCCAUGAAAGUGGAAAGGCUGCCACCACUGAUUCAUGGUGGAAGCAAUUUCCUUCCUCACCUCAGAUGGCCACCAAUUACUGCCACUGGCCCCUCUUCCUCCUCGUCAAGUUCGCAGCAGGUGUGGUUGAAACCAAAACCAACUUUUGCAUUAACCUUUGUUCAUGUCUGCUCAGCCAUUUUGUAGACUAUAAACAUUACAUAAGACAGACAUCUAGCUUACAAAGUACAAUAUUUCACUAGAAAAUGUGCUUUUCUGUUCUUCCUCAGAGUACCUUAGUGCAAAAUAAGAUAAAAUAAUCACUGAAAAAUAGCAAACCGGUUAAUUAUUAAAACCUUAUAUGAAGGAUUCAAAUAAUUGUCAACAUAAAAGAGGAAUGCUUCUCUCCCUACCAAACAGAUAUGUAUGUAGAAUGUUCAAGAGAAAAGUUGAAUAACAGCCCUAUUUGUACAAAGUGUGCAUGUGAGCGUGCGUGUGUGUGUUGCAUUUUUUCCCCUUUAGGUGGUUCAAAUUUGGAAUUUGUGAAGGCAGAGCUGAUAAUUAGAGACAAUAAAAAUCUGCAGAGUAGAUGGUUCCACAAACAAGACUAUGAAAGAGGGGAUAAAAGAAGAGGUCAAGAAAGACUCAAGAACAGUAUAUAGAAAUAAUUCAAUUACAUUAUGUGUAUUUUAAAGAAAACAUGUUCAAACUGCAUGAGACAGAAAAUAGCACUCAGUUAUCCUCCUAGACUUCUGAAAGUUUUGAGUUUGUCUGCAUCUUCUUCCAUUAAUCGCCUUUGCCAUCUUCAGAAACAAUGAAGUCAGUUUAUUUAUUUAGUCGAUACAUGACCUGUAGGAUAAUUGAGGACUAAGUAUGUCCAAGCCUUUUCAUUAAGGAAGAAUGACUGGCAGAACCAUACAGGUAUCCCAAAGGCCUUUUGGUAGGCUACAGCUGCAAUGAGGUUUUGAUGGAUGGUAGCUAUGGGGAAGCUUAAAGGAAGCUAGGGCAGUUGGUGAACAGUCUGUCAAGACCUUUCCUUUCCUAAGAAAAAAUUCAACAGGUCUCAUCCUCAUCUCCCUGGAUAUCUUGGACUGGAUAAGUUGGCUGUGCUUGCACCCUCCCAGUGCAACUCUUCUAACUGAAUUAACUUCCUGCAGAGAGGGAGCAAGUAUGACCUUCAAGACAGGAAACACUCACUCAGGCUCAGAGGUGAGACCUCACAUAAAUGGACAACAUUUUUUUAGUCAAUUACUGAUGGAAGGGUAGACUUCAGUUAGGUUCAGAAAUGUUAUGUAGAGUCAAAAUGGCUCAUCAGGACUAAGGAGGGUUUUAGGAAGAGCUGGAUGACAACCAAACCACCUUCAGGAACAUCUGGAAGAACAACGGCAUGCAAUAGGUCAUAAACACAUGGCUGUGGAAGAACUGAGAAAAGGGAAGGAGAGGGGCCAAAGUGGACACUCUUAGGUCCAACUCAUGGGAGGCAAGACUUUUGGAAUCCCCCAACCUGACCCGAAACAAGAAUGUAGAGAAUUCAGCCUCCUCAAAUGUAUGGCAGAGACAGAGACCAUCUAUUCUUACUGUUCCUAAAAGUCAAUCCACCCCUUUCUACAGAAAUCUAUAUGCAUUGAUAGAUAUCUACUUUGAGGAGGAGAAACAAAACAGCUUACAGAAGGUGGAAGCAGUAAUUUAAAAAAUAACAGAUAUUUCCCAGAAAUUUACAUUUCUUUCAGUCUGGCAGAUGCUUCACAAAAAUAAUUGUGCGGGACCUUGUGCUGCAUUCUAGGACACUUUAUGUGUGGCCCUGUUGCAACAAUACAUGCCUUGCCAGCUAGACUUUGAGCUCCCCAAGGGCAAAAACAAGGUGUAAUUUAUAUAUGUUCACCCAAUGCCUAGCCCGGCACUCAUUGGCAUUCCAUAAAUACUUCAUGAAUGAAAAAAGAAAAACAAUCUCUUUAUUUUGUUCUAUCCUGCUCUUGCUACCCGUUGGUGGAGAUGAGUCUGACAAAAGGUAGAAGUCAAGUUAAUACCAUCUCUGUUAUUACUAAGGAGAGGAAAAAAGUUGUUUUAAAACAUCACCGCUAGGAUCCUUAAAAUCUUCUGCAUACAGCAGAGGGUAAAUAGAAGAGGCAAAGUUAGUCAUAAAAAUAUGUCUAUAGAAAUGACAAAUGUCUAUUUCUCCAGACAAAUUUUCAUAAAGAUGGCAAUUGAGGCUAUAUAUGCAAUAAAUGAUGCAGUAGGAUAAAUAUAUUUUAGAGUAAGCAAAUAUACUGUUGCUUACAUAAAUAGAUUUGUUUGGUGGAAAAAAAUAUCAAUGAAACAGCUCCAUUAAAAUGUGAAAUUUCACAAGUACUUUUGGCUUUACUGUAAAGUGAUCCAUAUUCCAUAAGAUCUUUUUGUAAACAGCAGUUAUUGAAGGCUGAGGAUUUAAGUGGAAGAGAUCAUGGUGGCCCAGUUGGCCAGAGCAUGUAGUUGGGAAACCUGAAUGUGGUAGGAAAAAGAAAAAAAAAAUGGUUAAAGAGAGAUUAAGAUGCUUUCAAAGUCUCCUUCGAGAUGAUAAUUGCAGAAGGAUUAAAACACUCACACAAUUGAACAAUUACAUAAAACUACAUAGAUCUUGGUACCACUGAGGAAAGACAGUCAGAGUUAGCACGAUUUCUAAUUGUAAAUUACAUUCUACUUUGGAGGGUACGGAUCACUUGCAUUUCAUAUAUAUCUAGUGAAAGUUAGUGUUCUCUGGGGUUAUGAAAUAAUUCAACCCUGUAAAAAUAAUUCUGCUUUAGCCCUGAGACUACUUAUAGGAGUGACGUGUAGACGGCACUGUCCUGGCAUCUACAUUUAGGUCUGUGGUAUGUAGUGUGCAUGGAGUCUACACACGUGAGGAAGAUGCCAGUUGAUUUUGUAGUGCCAUUGUGGUCAGGAUAGAGCUUCACAGAUUCUUCAUCCUACAGGACAAUCUACAAGCAUAUAUACUUAGAUGAGAAAAUCAAAUACUCUGAGUUAGCCUUUGCUAGUCUCCAUUUCUUCUAUUAGCACUAUGUCAGCAAAACAUAGUCCUCACUGCUCAAAGAUUGAAUAAUGAAGAGUUCCAGCUUUAUUACUCAUACCUUCCUUUGCCUUUCUAUUUCAUUAUUGGAGCUGCUUCAGGCUAAACCUACUACACUUCAUGGUGACUUUUAUUUCAGGGGACAAAGGAAUAUAUAGCCAAGCAAAAGGCUGAUUUAUAUAGCCUUUUUAUGGAAAUAGAAAAUUCAAAAAUGAAAAUUGAAGAAAGGGAGGAAAGGGCAGGGGAAAACAGUGUUUAAAGAUCCUUCAUCUUACUAAAGAAUCAUUCAUCUUAUUAAAACUAAAAGGAGAGAAAUGAUAUCAUGGUUAAAAUCACUUUAAAAUAAAUGUACUAGCCAAAAGAUAUCAUGUAGAUGAUAAAGCGAUUGAGCUCAAAUCCACAGAAAAUUUCGAGGAGAGAAUAUGCAUUUGAAACAACAUCUUAAAAUAGAGAAAUAUGAUUGCAAACUAAAUCCUUAACUCAUAAGCUCUGAAACUGAAAGAAAAGCUGUGUUUGAAAUGGAAUGAAGCAACUAAGUUCCUCAUUGUGAGAGGCGAGAGACAGUGUACCCUAAGCACAAGUUGGAAUGUCUGCUAACUGUCAAGGAUGGCAAAUAGAGCUGUGGUCAUUGUUUUCUAAAUUGAAUCUGCCUCAUAAAGAGAAUCAGCAAGUAUUUUCCACACCUAAGAAUCAUUACAUGAGCAUUUCCACUAUCUUGGAGCAUUUACAUUGUCUUCUCCUUACCUUUUUCUCCAAGAUGGCCCAGGACAAAGAAUGAUGCAUAUUGCCACAGAAAAAUCAUUAAGAUCUUUACCGCCACCCCAUGGAUGAGCUCAAGGUGCCUUCUUGAAGGAAUGACUGUUUUCAAUGCUUUGUUACCAAAAGGGACAAAGACCCUGAAAUUUGUCACCACCUCUUUUGGGAGUUUAAGCCUAUAAAAAGAUGUUUGGAAGGGUCUUUAUGUAUAUAGGGUAUAGCAGAUUUGAAAAUGUGGUAUGCUACAGAACCUAAGGGCUCCUCUGAAAUCAAGCAAUGCUAGUUAGCUAGAGGUGACCAUUUCACUUAUGUUAAUGCAUCCUAAACUUCUUGGAGAAUAGCUUGAUGUUAAAAAAUGUGAAACUUGCAAAUUUGAAUUAACUAUCUUCACCAGGUCUUUAGUGAGUGAAUGGAAGGGAAGAAUUCUGUUUGGUAUUUUUCUUCUUUCAUGCAGUUUUUUUUUCAUUUUUUCCUGAUUUAAUUUUUGUUUUAAAGCUGAGUUAAGAUGGUUUAGGCUCUUUCAUUGAACCGGGUACUAUUUUAAACUUUUAUUUCAAUUUCUUUAUGCUGCAGCAACAUAUAUGUGUGCGUGUGUGUAUAUAUAUAUAUGUGUGUGUGUGUGUGUGUGUGUAUAUAUACUC